AACGAACGCUGGCGGCAGGCCUAACACAUGCAAGUCGAGCGCGCCCUUCGGGGUGAGCGGCGGACGGGUGAGUAACGCGUGGGAACGUGCCCUUUUCUACGGAAUAGCCUCGGGAAACUGAGAGUAAUACCGUAUACGCCCUUUGGGGGAAAGAUUUAUCGGAAAAGGAUCGGCCCGCGUUGGAUUAGGUAGUUGGUGGGGUAAUGGCCUACCAAGCGGACGAUCCAUAGCUGGUUUGAGAGGAUGAUCAGCCACACUGGGACUGAGACACGGCCCAGACUCCUACGGGAGGCAGCAGUGGGGAAUCUUAGACAAUGGGGGCAACCCUGAUCUAGCCAUGCCGCGUGAGUGAUGAAGGCCUUAGGGUUGUAAAGCUCUUUCAGCUGGGAAGAUAAUGACGGUACCAGCAGAAGAAGCCCCGGCUAACUCCGUG
RNAcentral lists this ribosomal RNA (433 nucleotides) under uncultured bacterium. Its description in RNAcentral is "partial 16S ribosomal RNA". It matches the Rfam family "Bacterial small subunit ribosomal RNA", at positions 29 to 507 of the family's 1533-position model. The record is from RNAcentral.